GAUGAAGAACGCAGCGAAAUGCGAUAAGUAAUGUGAAUUGCAGAAUUCAGUGAAUCAUCGAAUCUUUGAACGCACAUUGCGCCCCUUGGUAUUCCGAGGGGCAUGCCUGUUCGAGCGUCAUUAUAACCCUCAAGCUCAGCUUGGUGUUGGGGCCUGCUGCACUGGCAGCCCUUAAAAUCAGUGGCGGCGCCAUCUGGCUCUAAGCGUAGUAAUUCUUCUCGCUAUGGAGUCCUGGUGGAUGCUUGCCAUCAACCCCCAAUGUUUCUAUGGUUGACCUCGGAUCAGGUAGGGAUACCCGCUGAACUUAAGCAUAUCAAUAAGCGGAGGA
Molecule: unclassified non-coding RNA, 328 nt
Filed under: soil metagenome
Description: partial contains 5.8S ribosomal RNA, internal transcribed spacer 2, and large subunit ribosomal RNA
Rfam family: 5.8S ribosomal RNA (bases 1-120)
Source: RNAcentral